This 587-nucleotide ribosomal RNA is filed under the name uncultured bacterium. RNAcentral's name for it is "bacterial SSU rRNA". It matches the Rfam family "Bacterial small subunit ribosomal RNA", at positions 96 to 699 of the family's 1533-position model. The record is from RNAcentral.
UGGCGGACGGGUGAGUAACACGUGAGCAACCUGCCUAUCAGAGGGGGAUAACGAUUGGAAACGAUCGCUAAUACCGCAUGACAUAGCGGAAUCGCAUGGUUCUGUUAUCAAAGAUUUUAUCGCUGAUAGAUGGGCUCGCGUCCGAUUAGAUAGUUGGUGGGGUAACGGCCUACCAAGUCGACGAUCGGUAGCCGGACUGAGAGGUCGAACGGCCACAUUGGGACUGAGACACGGCCCAGACUCCUACGGGAGGCAGCAGUGGGGGAUAUUGCACAAUGGGGGAAACCCUGAUGCAGCGACGCCGCGUGAGGGAAGACGGUCCUCUGGAUUGUAAACCUCUGUCUUCGGGGACGAAACGAAACGGUACCCGAGGAGGAAGCCACGGCUAACUACGUGCCAGCAGCCGCGGUAAUACGUAGGUGGCAAGCGUUGUCCGGAAUUACUGGGUGUAAAGGGAGCGUAGGCGGGCAGGCAAGUCAGGCGUGAAAUAUAUCGGCUCAACCGGUAACGGCGCUUGAAACUGCAGGUCUUGAGUGAAGUAGAGGUUGGCGGAAUUCCUAGUGUAGCGGUGAAAUGCGUAGAUAUUA